UACGAAGGGGGCUAGCGUUGCUCGGAAUCACUGGGCGUAAAGGGUGCGUAGGCGGGUAUUUAAGUCAGGGGUGAAAUCCUGGAGCUCAACUCCAGAACUGCCUUUGAUACUGAGGAUCUUGAGUUCGGGAGAGGUGAGUGGAACUGCGAGUGUAGAGGUGAAAUUCGUAGAUAUUCGCAAGAACACCAGUGGCGAAGGCGGCUCACUGGCCCGAUACUGACGCUGAGGCACGAAAGCGUGGGGAGCAAACAGG
This 253-nucleotide ribosomal RNA is filed under the name uncultured bacterium. Its description in RNAcentral is "partial 16S ribosomal RNA". It matches the Rfam family "Bacterial small subunit ribosomal RNA", at positions 524 to 776 of the family's 1533-position model. The record is from RNAcentral.